RNAcentral lists this transfer RNA (79 nucleotides) under Candidatus Omnitrophota bacterium. RNAcentral's name for it is "tRNA-His". It matches the Rfam family "tRNA". Rfam says of the family: Transfer RNA (tRNA) molecules are approximately 80 nucleotides in length. RNAcentral also lists the same sequence under 1 other name. Lineage: Bacteria; Pseudomonadati; Candidatus Omnitrophota. The record is from RNAcentral.
GUGGCUGUAGCUUAGCCCGGUUUAAAGCGUCUGAUUGUGGUUCAGAAGAUCGGGGGUUCAAAUCCCCUCAGCCACCCCA